GGUUAAGCGACUAAGCGUACACGGUGGAUGCCCUGGCAGUCAGAGGCGAUGAAGGACGUGCUAAUCUGCGAUAAGCGUCGGUAAGGUGAUAUGAACCGUUAUAACCGGCGAUUUCCGAAUGGGGAAACCCAGUGUGUUUCGACACACUAUCAUUAACUGAAUCCAUAGGUUAAUGAGGCGAACCGGGGGAACUGAAACAUCUAAGUACCCCGAGGAAAAGAAAUCAACCGAGAUUCCCCCAGUAGCGGCGAGCGAACGGGGAGGAGCCCAGAGCCUGAAUCAGUGUGUGUGUUAGUGGAAGCGUCUGGAAAGGCGCGCGAUACAGGGUGACAGCCCCGUACACAAAAAUGCACAUGCUGUGAGCUCGAUGAGUAGGGCGGGACACGUGGUAUCCUGUCUGAAUAUGGGGGGACCAUCCUCCAAGGCUAAAUACUCCUGACUGACCGAUAGUGAACCAGUACCGUGAGGGAAAGGCGAAAAGAACCCCGGCGAGGGGAGUGAAAAAGAACCUGAAACCGUGUACGUACAAGCAGUGGGAGCCUCUUUAUGGGGUGACUGCGUACCUUUUGUAUAAUGGGUCAGCGACUUAUAUUCUGUAGCAAGGUUAACCGAAUAGGGGAGCCGAAGGGAAACCGAGUCUUAACUGGGCGUUAAGUUGCAGGGUAUAGACCCGAAACCCGGUGAUCUAGCCAUGGGCAGGUUGAAGGUUGGGUAACACUAACUGGAGGACCGAACCGACUAAUGUUGAAAAAUUAGCGGAUGACUUGUGGCUGGGGGUGAAAGGCCAAUCAAACCGGGAGAUAGCUGGUUCUCCCCGAAAGCUAUUUAGGUAGCGCCUCGUGAAUUCAUCUCCGGGGGUAGAGCACUGUUUCGGCAAGGGGGUCAUCCCGACUUACCAACCCGAUGCAAACUGCGAAUACCGGAGAAUGUUAUCACGGGAGACACACGGCGGGUGCUAACGUCCGUCGUGAAGAGGGAAACAACCCAGACCGCCAGCUAAGGUCCCAAAGUCAUGGUUAAGUGGGAAACGAUGUGGGAAGGCCCAGACAGCCAGGAUGUUGGCUUAGAAGCAGCCAUCAUUUAAAGAAAGCGUAAUAGCUCACUGGUCGAGUCGGCCUGCGCGGAAGAUGUAACGGGGCUAAACCAUGCACCGAAGCUGCGGCAGCGACGCUUAUGCGUUGUUGGGUAGGGGAGCGUUCUGUAAGCCUGCGAAGGUGUGCUGUGAGGCAUGCUGGAGGUAUCAGAAGUGCGAAUGCUGACAUAAGUAACGAUAAAGCGGGUGAAAAGCCCGCUCGCCGGAAGACCAAGGGUUCCUGUCCAACGUUAAUCGGGGCAGGGUGAGUCGACCCCUAAGGCGAGGCCGAAAGGCGUAGUCGAUGGGAAACAGGUUAAUAUUCCUGUACUUGGUGUUACUGCGAAGGGGGGACGGAGAAGGCUAUGUUGGCCGGGCGACGGUUGUCCCGGUUUAAGCGUGUAGGCUGGUUUUCCAGGCAAAUCCGGAAAAUCAAGGCUGAGGCGUGAUGACGAGGCACUACGGUGCUGAAGCAACAAAUGCCCUGCUUCCAGGAAAAGCCUCUAAGCAUCAGGUAACAUCAAAUCGUACCCCAAACCGACACAGGUGGUCAGGUAGAGAAUACCAAGGCGCUUGAGAGAACUCGGGUGAAGGAACUAGGCAAAAUGGUGCCGUAACUUCGGGAGAAGGCACGCUGAUAUGUAGGUGAAGCGACUUGCUCGUGGAGCUGAAAUCAGUCGAAGAUACCAGCUGGCUGCAACUGUUUAUUAAAAACACAGCACUGUGCAAACACGAAAGUGGACGUAUACGGUGUGACGCCUGCCCGGUGCCGGAAGGUUAAUUGAUGGGGUUAGCGGUAACGCGAAGCUCUUGAUCGAAGCCCCGGUAAACGGCGGCCGUAACUAUAACGGUCCUAAGGUAGCGAAAUUCCUUGUCGGGUAAGUUCCGACCUGCACGAAUGGCGUAAUGAUGGCCAGGCUGUCUCCACCCGAGACUCAGUGAAAUUGAACUCGCUGUGAAGAUGCAGUGUACCCGCGGCAAGACGGAAAGACCCCGUGAACCUUUACUAUAGCUUGACACUGAACAUUGAGCCUUGAUGUGUAGGAUAGGUGGGAGGCUUUGAAGUGUGGACGCCAGUCUGCAUGGAGCCGGCCUUGAAAUACCACCCUUUAAUGUUUGAUGUUCUAACGUUGGCCCCUGAUCGGGGUUGCGGACAGUGUCUGGUGGGUAGUUUGACUGGGGCGGUCUCCUCCUAAAGAGUAACGGAGGAGCACGAAGGUUGGCUAAUCCUGGUCGGACAUCAGGAGGUUAGUGCAAUGGCAUAAGCCAGCUUGACUGCGAGCGUGACGGCGCGAGCAGGUGCGAAAGCAGGUCAUAGUGAUCCGGUGGUUCUGAAUGGAAGGGCCAUCGCUCAACGGAUAAAAGGUACUCCGGGGAUAACAGGCUGAUACCGCCCAAGAGUUCAUAUCGACGGCGGUGUUUGGCACCUCGAUGUCGGCUCAUCACAUCCUGGGGCUGAAGUAGGUCCCAAGGGUAUGGCUGUUCGCCAUUUAAAGUGGUACGCGAGCUGGGUUUAGAACGUCGUGAGACAGUUCGGUCCCUAUCUGCCGUGGGCGCUGGAGAACUGAGGGGGGCUGCUCCUAGUACGAGAGGACCGGAGUGGACGCAUCACUGGUGUUCGGGUUGUCAUGCCAAUGGCACUGCCCGGUAGCUAAAUGCGGAAGAGAUAAGUGCUGAAAGCAUCUAAGCACGAAACUUGCCCCGAGAUGAGUUCUCCCUGAGACUUUAAGUCUCCUGAAGGAACGUUGAAGACGACGACGUUGAUAGGCCGGGUGUGUAAGCGCAGCGAUGCGUUGAGCUAACCGGUACUAAUGAACCGUGAGGCUUAACCUU
RNAcentral lists this ribosomal RNA (2905 nucleotides) under Escherichia coli. RNAcentral describes it as "23S ribosomal RNA". It matches the Rfam family "Bacterial large subunit ribosomal RNA". The record is from RNAcentral. RNAcentral also lists the same sequence under 1 other name. Lineage: Bacteria; Pseudomonadati; Pseudomonadota; Gammaproteobacteria; Enterobacterales; Enterobacteriaceae.